CCUACGGGAGGCAGCAGUGGGGAAUAUUGGACAAUGGGCGAAAGCCUGAUCCAGCCAUGCCGCGUGUGUGAAGAAGGCCUUCGAGUUGUAAAGCACUUUCAGUGGGGAAGAAAGCCUUGGGGCUAAUACCCUCGAGGAAGGACAUCACCCACAGAAGAAGCACCGGCUAACUCCGUGCCAGCAGCCGCGGUAAUACGGAGGGUGCGAGCGUUAAUCGGAAUUACUGGGCGUAAAGCGCGCGUAGGCGGUCUGAUAAGCCGGUUGUGAAAGCCCCGGGCUCAACCUGGGAACGGCAUCCGGAACUGUCAGGCUAGAGUGCAGGAGAGGAAGGUAGAAUUCCCGGUGUAGCGGUGAAAUGCGUAGAGAUCGGGAGGAAUACCAGUGGCGAAGGCGGCCUUCUGGACUGACACUGACGCUGAGGUGCGAAAGCGUGGGUAGCAAACAGGAUUAGAUACCCGUGUAGUC
RNAcentral lists this ribosomal RNA (465 nucleotides) under Vreelandella stevensii. RNAcentral describes it as "partial 16S ribosomal RNA". It matches the Rfam family "Bacterial small subunit ribosomal RNA", at positions 338 to 795 of the family's 1533-position model. Lineage: Bacteria; Pseudomonadati; Pseudomonadota; Gammaproteobacteria; Oceanospirillales; Halomonadaceae. The record is from RNAcentral.